GACGAACGCUGGCGGCGUGCUUAACACAUGCAAGUCGAACGAUGAUGCCAGCUUGCUGGUGGAUUAGUGGCGAACGGGUGAGUAACACGUGAGCAACCUGCCCCUGACUUCGGGAUAACCGCGGGAAACCGUGGCUAAUACCGGAUAUGACGCGCUAUCGCAUGGUGGUGUGUGGAAAGAUUUAUCGGUUGGGGAUGGGCUCGCGGCCUAUCAGCUUGUUGGUGGGGUGAUGGCCUACCAAGGCGACGACGGGUAGCCGGCCUGAGAGGGUGACCGGCCACACUGGGACUGCGACACGGCCCAGACUCCUACGGGAGGCAGCAGUGGGGAAUAUUGCACAAUGGGCGCAAGCCUGAUGCAGCGACGCCGCGUGAGGGAUGACGGCCUUCGGGUUGUAAACCUCUUUCAGUAGGGAAGAAGGCCUUCGGGUUGACGGUACCUGCAGAAGAAGCGCCGGCUAACUACGUG
Molecule: ribosomal RNA, 468 nt
Filed under: uncultured bacterium
Lineage: Bacteria
Description: partial 16S ribosomal RNA
Rfam family: Bacterial small subunit ribosomal RNA
Source: RNAcentral